UUGGGAGAGGAAGGAAGUUGGUAAAGGGCUUCCAAACCUUCCCUGUAUUAAGACCACAUAUUGGUCCCCAGACCUAGUUCUUUAGCUAGGUGUGGUUUUACAAAUACUGGUGAUAAAU
Molecule: small nucleolar RNA, 118 nt
Organism: Capra hircus (goat)
Lineage: Eukaryota; Metazoa; Chordata; Mammalia; Artiodactyla; Bovidae
Gene: SNORA72
Rfam family: Small nucleolar RNA SNORA72
About the family: U72 is a member of the H/ACA class of snoRNAs.
Source: Ensembl